RNA transcript from Daucus carota subsp. sativus, 2221 nucleotides. It is a transcript of the gene named OVARIAN TUMOR DOMAIN-containing deubiquitinating enzyme 7, with no coding region annotated. Lineage: Eukaryota; Viridiplantae; Streptophyta; Magnoliopsida; Apiales; Apiaceae. The record is from RefSeq and is a predicted model, not a curated record. The transcript has 12 exons.
CGGGAAACAAACAUGACCCGGCAGCAAACUUGAUAACAAAGUAUAAUUGGCCUGGGACGAUCAAUAAUAUCAGGGAUUAUCUCAAAACCCCCAAAACGCUGAUAAUUAUUAUUACUAUCAUCGAUAACUCAUCAACACAACAAUAAUCAUGGUGAAAACAAAGCAUCGCAAGUCCAAACCUAGCAGUAGCAAACAAUCUCAUAAUAAGAAGCAUGGUAAACAAGCUGAUAUAUCUGAGUUUCGUGCUCAACUCGAUGCGUUGGGCUUGAAAAUUAUACAAAUGACAGCAGAUGGUAAUUGCUUUUUCAGGGCUUUGGCGGAUCAGUUAGAAGGCGACGAGGAUGAGCAUAUGAAGUACCGGAAAAUGGUGGUAGACUUUAUUCGUAAUAACAAAGAAACAUAUGAGCCAUUUAUUGAGGAUCAAGUACCAUUUGAUGAAUAUUGUCAAUCCAUGGAAAAUGAUGGCACAUGGGCUGGACAUAUGGAAUUACAAGCUGCUUCUCUUGUUACUCAUAGUAACAUAUGCAUACACCAAAAGAUGUCACCUCGUUGGUACAUACAGAAUUUUGAUAACCGUGAUGCUCGGAUGAUCCAUUUGUCAUAUCAUGACGAGGAGCACUACAACAGUGUGCGAGUAAAGGACGACACUUGUUCUGGAGCUGCUAGGCCUGUAACAAUCAAGGCCGAUGCUGACAUUUCCAUGGCAUCUCAUCAAGCUAAAGUUUCUGUCGCCAAAUCUAAAGGGAUAGCUGAUAAAAAUGUAAUCCCAGCAGAUUCAAUCAAAAUGGUCAUGACUGGAAGUGGUUGUGAAAAUGCCAGCAAAGCUGAACAUGUUUUGCUGCAGGUGGAGGGCAACAUUGAUGCUGCAAUAGAAUUUCUUGUUGCAGAACAAGGAUUAGAUGACCCUUUCCUUGAAAAUAAGAUUAUCUCUUUAUCAGCUGUCGAAUCACAUGGUGAGAAUCAGAAUAACAGCUCUGAGAAGCACAUGGAAGCCUUUGAUAGUAAAAUCAGAAAGGAGAUUCAGUCUUGUGGUACUGCGGGAAGAAAUCAUGUCGUUAACUGCUCAGAAAAUGCUAAGAAGAUGAUUCCCUCAAGAAACAAGGCUUGUCCCUGUGGUUCUAAAAAGAAAUACAAGUCUUGUUGUGGAUCAGUUGCAGGGAGAUCUUCUCCUAGAUUUGCAAAUCACUAUGUUAUAUCAGCAAGCAGACAGUUGACAGCAGCAAGGGCCGAAAAGAUAAAAAACAAGGUAAUAAAAGUGGUUCCACAAGCAACGUGAAUUCCCGUGUCUUUGAAGGAGGCCCACCUGAUGUUGGUGCACUCUGCAUUUGAGCAUCAUAUCGAGGCGUCUUGUGCAUGGGAUUUAGACGCAUGCUACUCUUCUAGGCAUGCAUGCACUCAAACCAGUGGACAACUGUUAGCUUUGCAAACAACUCAAAGUCCAUCGGUCAUGUAAUUACCUGGACGAGAAGACUUUAUAAGCUAGACGUGACAGGGAAUAUAACACUUGUACUGGUUUUAAAAGAUAUUUGCAAUUCAUUGCAAUUUGCAGGAGAUUGUUAGAAAUUUCACCCUCAGCAUAUCAUCAGCACAUUGGUAUUUGAUCAGCAGAACCAUUUUCCAACUUUUGGGAUUUCUCAAAUGAUGUUAUGGAACCCGAAAGUAGUUACUUCUGGUCUUUGUUGAUGCACAAGUCUUGUGACCAACAUGUUGAUUUUUCUUUAGCUGAAAUAUUUCCUUGCACUCUACCACUUUUGACACUGGUUUUCGACUGUUCCCCUGGUGGUCUGCUCGUCAUGUGUAGGUCUCUAGUUACACACUUAUAUAUCAUUGAAAAAGUUAGUCACCUUGAUCAGUGAGUUUGUUUUGAUGAACUGACUGGAAUCCUAUUGUGGCUGAAACGACGGCACAAGAGAUUUACAUAUAGUGCUCAUGAAUUUGUUCAGGCGGCUGAUCUUCCUACAGUAUUUCCUAUACUUGCAGGAAUUUUAUGAAAAGGAUGGUCAAUGUACAAGUAUUACAUAUUGAUUUGUUCUAAUUCAUAGGAGAAUGUUAAUAUGUUCGUAAAUUCUCUGCAGAGGGGUUUACGCUUGCAAAUUUUACAAGUGUUCUAUUCAAGAAGUGUCUGCAAUAUUUAGCCUGCUAAUGGCAUUUUCUGCCCCAUUUUGUUAGUUGCAUUAGUGUUCAAAAUACUUUUUCUCUGCAGAUAAUUUUCUGAUUUCUA